RNAcentral lists this ribosomal RNA (492 nucleotides) under uncultured bacterium. RNAcentral's name for it is "partial 16S ribosomal RNA". It matches the Rfam family "Bacterial small subunit ribosomal RNA", at positions 29 to 507 of the family's 1533-position model. The record is from RNAcentral.
AGUGAACGCUGGCGGUAGGCCUAACACAUGCAAGUCGAACGGCAGCACAGUAAGAGCUUGCUCUUACGGGUGGCGAGUGGCGGACGGGUGAGGAAUACAUCGGAACCUACUUUUUCGUGGGGGAUAACGUCGGGAAACUUACGCUAAUACCGCAUACGACCUACGGGUGAAAGCAGGGGAUCUUCGGACCUUGCGCGAUUGAAUGAGCCGAUGUCGGAUUAGCUAGUUGGCGGGGUAAAGGCCCACCAAGGCGACGAUCCGUAGCUGGUCUGAGAGGAUGAUCAGCCACACUGGAACUGAGACACGGUCCAGACUCCUACGGGAGGCACCAGUGGGGAAUAUUGGACAAUGGGCGCAAGCCUGAUCCAGCCAUACCGCGUGGGUGAAGAAGGCCUUCGGGUUGUAAAGCCCUUUUGUUGGGAAAGAAAAGCAGCAGGUUAAUACCCCGCUGUUCUGACGGUACCCAAAGAAUAAGCACCGGCUAACUUCGUG